GAUGAACGCUGGCGGCGUGCCUAAUACAUGCAAGUCGAGCGAACAGACGAGGAGCUUGCUCCUCUGACGUUAGCGGCGGACGGGUGAGUAACACGUGGAUAACCUACCUAUAAGACUGGGAUAACUUCGGGAAACCGGAGCUAAUACCGGAUAAUAUAUUGAACCGCAUGGUUCAAUAGUGAAAGACGGUUUUGCUGUCACUUAUAGAUGGAUCCGCGCCGCAUUAGCUAGUUGGUAAGGUAACGGCUUACCAAGGCAACGAUGCGUAGCCGACCUGAGAGGGUGAUCGGCCACACGGGAACUGAGACACGGUCCAGACUCCUACGGGAGGCAGCAGUAGGGAAUCUUCCGCAAUGGGCGAAAGCUUGACGGAGCAACGCCGCGUGAGUGAUGAAGGUCUUCGGAUCGUAAAACUCUGUUAUUAGGGAAGAACAAAUGUGUAAGUUACUAUGCACGUCUUGACGGUACCUAAUCAGAAAGCCACGGCUAACUACGUG
Molecule: ribosomal RNA, 497 nt
Filed under: uncultured bacterium
Lineage: Bacteria
Description: partial 16S ribosomal RNA
Rfam family: Bacterial small subunit ribosomal RNA
Source: RNAcentral